Acanthaster planci (crown-of-thorns starfish) is the source of this 3223-nucleotide long non-coding RNA. NCBI's taxonomy places the organism in Eukaryota, Metazoa, Echinodermata, Asteroidea, Valvatida, Acanthasteridae. The record is from RefSeq and is a predicted model, not a curated record.
UGCAGUUGUGCGAAUUCAAAACGACAGUGCAUGCAUGUUGAUGUGGUGAGAAAUUCGUCCGGAAGAUACAGUUUGCGGAGAGGAAAACGCAUUGAAACAGUUGUAAAGGUGUGAACGUGGUGAUUGCUUUCAGUUCCCUUCCUUUUUAUUUCAUCGGGACAGCCUGAACAUGGCUAGCAAAAGCCAUAAAGGGACGAUAGGUGCCUGGUAUGAGGCUGGCGCUCAUGAUUUCCGGGAAUUGGAACAAAAAGUACAACGAGGUGAUCGGCUGGAGUUCUACCGCGGUAUAUACGCCCACUGGGGUAUAUACGUCGGUGCGUAUGAUGGAAUCGAGCACGCUGUCAUCCACUUCGGUAUGAUCGACGGUGGGAAGGGGUUCGCCAAAAAGAAAACGUUAGGCAUGGCGGAUUAUGCGACCAGCAAGCCCGAGGUACGAGCCGACUCCAUUCGGGCGGUGCUUGGCGAUUCGGGCAAAGUGAGAAUCAACAACUCAAAAGACGAGGAGAAAAAAACCUUUUUCGGCGGACAACAUCGUUGAAAAAGCAAAGACAAUGCAUCGAGAGAAAGUCCAUAUUGACUACGAUCUUCUCGAACGCAACUGCGAGCACUUUGUGAAUCUCUGCCGGUACGACGACCCAACAAGCGAUCAGGCUGACAUGUUAAGAGAGGCUGCUGGCCCAGCAGGUGAAUUUGUGGCAAGAGCGGUGGCAUCAACGUUUCUUCAAUAACAGUGAUUCUGGGAUUCAAGCAUGUGGAGUACAGUUUGUGCUUGUGGAAGUGUACACAGUGAAGUUUAGUUUCGUCUCUCAUGAACAGCAAGCACUAAUGGUGCGAAUUUGUGCCGUGAACUUGAGAUGGGGGGUGGGAGAUUAUAGAGAGGGUGACUUGAUCGGCAGUGGAAAUUUGAAAAGUUGGGGUGGGAGUGGAACAGACAUCAUUUUAAACCAACAGUUUUUUUAAUUUCUUUAUCAAAUGUUUUACUUUAGAAACCAACCACAUUGUUGAACUACAAAUUGAAGAAUUUAACAAUAAUGAAUGGCACCUUUUGAUAUUUUCUUAAUUUCAUAUUAUAUAUUUUCACAAGGGCCAUAUAUGACUCAACAGGGCAAAUAGAAAGGUUUCUUUUAGAAAAAUAGAAUCCUAUUUGUAUUUUUAAAAAUUAGGACGCUAUUUUCUUAAAAUAGGAUGCUGUUUUUAAAAAUAGCAAGCUCUUUAAAAAAAAAUAGGAUGUAAUGCUACGGCAGUGCUUUCAUUAUCUUAAAUGUCACUUUCAAGAAACACAACACAUGUACAUUGUACCAAGAUUAUGAACUGAUUUUGAGUGAAUUUGAGCUUAUUAUCGCACACCCACUUACAAGUCAGUCUUCUUUGACUUUACAAGAGUCAAUUUAGCGCUAUGGUGCAUGCAUGUACAAUAUUCGUGCCUCAGAAAAGUUACACGUAGACCCUAUUAGGCUCACUUUGAUUUUCAAUAUCAUAUCUUGAGAGUCUUUAAUGUAAAUAUUAAUAACGCCACAGUCCUCAAAAUUAAUAGCCAUACAGAAAAAGGCUUGCAGGUACAUUACAUGUAAUUAUAAUUUCAAUCUCUCGGCUGAGCUUGCCUUGCUGGCACCAGGCUGUGGGCUUACAUGGUUUGUAGUGUUGUUUCAGAUCAUGAAGCCCUUGCACGGUUCAGAUCCUUACAACAUGUACAUGUAUACGCUUUGUGCACAUGAAAAAUUCUGCAAAAUGUAUCGCAGGACAGUAAAUGCAUGUACGGGGUAUAUAUAGGUGCAAACUGCAUAUAGAGAAGACUAAGAUUCCUGCAUGCAAACUAAAAAAAAUAUAAAGUCAAAAGCUAGGGUAUUUAUAAAAUAUAAGAUUUUUAAAUUAAUUUGUAUCUUUUUGUUUAUUACGGCAUUUAUACAAAAGUGUAUGUUAUCAGAUGUCAUUAUCACUUCCUUGUGAUGUAAUAGUGCAUUUUGUUCAUUGAUGGUCAACAUUGUGUCGGCCCGUCUUGGACAAAUUCGAUCAAGACUUUGAAAACGUAUGUUUUGGAGAGAUAGGAAUAAAGUCGCUUACAUUAACGUUACAUUACAUUAACGUUGCGAGCGUUUAUCUACCCACAGUGGAUGGACUCUAGAUUGUAUCAGGUUUGCGCCAGUGAGGAUCCUGUCUUCUAAGGUUAGAUUAGCAUAUUCUUUGUUAAUAAUCACAAAUAUCCCUUUAUUAAGUUUUUUCCUUUAAGUUUGAAACAGUUUUAAGCAUUUGAAGCAAGAUGUGGAACGGAGAGACCCCCCCUUUGGGUUGGUCAUUGUUAGGGGGAUGCGUUGGGUUACAAUUUUCUCGUGUAAAGGGAUUGAACAGGUAAGGGGGGGUACCCCUCCGUCCCAUAUCUUGCAUGAUGUAGUUUUAAGACAGUUCAACUUGUCUUGGUCCCCUGGUUUCAAUUUUAGUUUGUAUGUAAAGACUACCACAAAUCAUUUCGCAACUUAGCAUACAUUGGUGUCUAUUAAUUUUUAAGUAAAUUAACGAAAAAUAAUUGCGAAUUGUAAUUAUUCUAAAGAAAAACGGCAAGCUGAUGUCAGUUUGGUAAUCAGGGCGUCGGGGAAUGUGUGUGCGGGAUUGGCCACCGAAGCUUGAUGGGCUUCUUAAAAAGGAGAUGCACUGUAUAUUAAUGUGCAGUUAUUGGAAACCUUCGCAGCUUCAGAUUCCGUUUACAGUUAAUGUUAUGACAUGCAGGAACGUUUAUAAUGUGGUAGAUGAUUUUAAACCUAUAUGAAUAGACAGAGGAAAUGUGCCCUUUCUGAUGACACCACGUUUGCUAGAUUUAGAUAAUUCUGAGACCUUUUAUACUCGGAUAUAUGGACCAUUCUCUGUGCGAAACAGGACCCUACAUGGCGCGAUGCCAGAACUACGCAAGAAUAGGAGGCAGGCUUACAACAACUCACAUUUCCUUUUACAGAUAAUUCCCUAACUACUCCAAAUAUGUAUAUAAAAUUUAUAUGAAUAGAGAGAGGAACAUGCGCCCUUUCAGAUGACACCAAUUGUUAGCUAGAUUUAGAUAAUUUUGAGACUUUUUAUACUUGGAUACUUGGACCCUUCUCAUUCCAAAACAGCACCAGAUAUAGCGCAUUGCCAGAACUACGCAAACAUAGGAGGCAGUCGGACGAGAACUCACAUUUCCUUUUCCAAGUAAUCCGCUACCUACUGCAAAUAUGGAUAUUAAACCUAUAUGAAUAGA